This 303-nucleotide ribosomal RNA is filed under the name uncultured bacterium. RNAcentral's name for it is "partial 16S ribosomal RNA". It matches the Rfam family "Bacterial small subunit ribosomal RNA", at positions 507 to 807 of the family's 1533-position model. The record is from RNAcentral.
AGCAGUCGCCACGGGAAUACGUAGGGCGCAAGCGUUGUCCGGAAUUAUUGGGCGUAAAGAGCUCGUAGGCGGUCUGUCGCGUCUGGUGUGAAAUCCCGAGGCUCAACCUCGGGCUUGCAUCGGGUACGGGCAGACUAGAGUGCGGUAGGGGAGACUGGAAUUCCUGGUGUAGCGGUGGAAUGCGCAGAUAUCAGGAGGAACACCGAUGGCGAAGGCAGGUCUCUGGGCCGCAACUGACGCUGAGGAGCGAAAGCAUGGGGAGCGAACAGGAUUAGAUACCCCAGUAGUCCCUGUCUCUUAUAC